This 477-nucleotide long non-coding RNA is filed under the name Ananas comosus (pineapple). RNAcentral's name for it is "long non-coding RNA (ACOM_LNC024824)". Lineage: Eukaryota; Viridiplantae; Streptophyta; Magnoliopsida; Poales; Bromeliaceae. The record is from RNAcentral.
AUCUUAUCUUAUCUUAUCAAUACCAAUACAUUAAAGGGAUCGACCAUUUCUAGCACAAGUGGUAAAGAGUUUAGUAGCUGGUAUCCGAGCUUCCAAGUUCGAAUCCUAGUUGAUUCAUAUUUACAGCUUUGCCUAUCAUACAUGAAAGGAGAAUCCAAAAAAAAAAUAUCAUUAAAGCGCGUAUUUUUUAUUUUUGCCUACAUCAUGUGUAAAUUUUAUCGUAUGAACCAACCAUCUUUUUUAAUAGUCGAUAUAACAAAAGUAAAAUUUCAUACGGUAUAAAAAAAAUUAUACACUGAGUGUAUAAGACAUGUUCAUAUACAACAAGUGUAAAAUUUUAGCGCACGAGCCAACUCUAUUUUUUAAUAAUCUCCUCAAGGAAAGAGGUGGGGCCCACUUUUUUUUUUUCUCUCUCUCUUACUCUCUCUCUCACACCCUACACCCUUUUUUUUUCUUUUUUUCUUUUUUUUUUCACAC